CCUACGGGUGGCAGCAGUGAGGAAUAUUGGUCAAUGGACUAGAGUCUGAACCAGCCAAGUAGCGUGAAGGAUGACUGCCCUAUGGGUUGUAAACUUCUUUUAUAUGGGAAUAAAACGUUCCACGUGUGGGAUUUUGUAUGUACCAUAUGAAUAAGGAUCGGCUAACUCCGUGCCAGCAGCCGCGGUAAUACGGAGGAUCCGAGCGUUAUCCGGCUUUAUUGGGUUUAAAGGGAGCGUAGGUGGAUUGUUAAGUCAGUUGUGAAAGUUUGCGGCUCAACCGUAAAAUUGCAGUUGAAACUGGCAGUCUUGAGUACAGUAGAGGUGGGCGGAAUUCGUGGUGUAGCGGUGAAAUGCUUAGAUAGCACGAAGAACUCCGAUUGCGAAGGCAGUUCACUGGACUGCAACUGACACUGAGGCUCGAAAGUGUGGGUAUCAAACAGGAUUAGAUACCCCAGUAGUC
This 460-nucleotide ribosomal RNA is filed under the name uncultured bacterium. RNAcentral's name for it is "partial 16S ribosomal RNA". It matches the Rfam family "Bacterial small subunit ribosomal RNA", at positions 338 to 795 of the family's 1533-position model. The record is from RNAcentral.